AUGGCCGCCGCCGCCAGGUCGAUGCUCCGCUCGUCCGCUUCUCUCCUCCGCGCUGCUCCGGCGAGGGCCUCUUCCUCUGCGGCGCGGCCGUCCCUUCGCCGCGCGUUGGGCGCGCCCCCUCGCCUCCUCAGGUCGCCCGUCGAGGCGAGCUUCUGCGUGGAGUCCCUGCUGCCGCUGCACAGCGCCACCGCCGCGGCGCGGAUGACGUCUAUGCUCGCCGUGCCUGGCCGAGGCCUCGGGUGGCUCACGGAAGGGAAAGACGAAACUAGAUGA
RNAcentral lists this ribosomal RNA (273 nucleotides) under Triticum aestivum (bread wheat). RNAcentral describes it as "partial small subunit ribosomal RNA". Lineage: Eukaryota; Viridiplantae; Streptophyta; Magnoliopsida; Poales; Poaceae. The record is from RNAcentral.